CAGUCGCCGCGUAAUACGUAGGGUGCAAGCGUUAAUCGGAAUUACUGGGCGUAAAGCGUGCGCAGGCGGUUAUAUAAGACAGAUGUGAAAUCCCCGGGCUCAACCUGGGAACUGCAUUUGUGACUGUAUAGCUAGAGUACGGCAGAGGGGGAUGGAAUUCCGCGUGUAGCAGUGAAAUGCGUAGAUAUGCGGAGGAACACCGAUGGCGAAGGCAAUCCCCUGGGCCUGUACUGACGCUCAUGCACGAAAGCGUGGGGAGCAAACAGGAUUAGAUACCCGCGUAGUCCCUGUCUCUUAUACA
RNAcentral lists this ribosomal RNA (301 nucleotides) under uncultured bacterium. RNAcentral describes it as "partial 16S ribosomal RNA". It matches the Rfam family "Bacterial small subunit ribosomal RNA", at positions 509 to 808 of the family's 1533-position model. The record is from RNAcentral.